ACAGAAAGGGAGCUUGCUCCCGGAUGUUAGCGGCGGACGGGUGAGUAACACGUGGGUAACCUGCCUGUAAGACUGGGAUAACUCCGGGAAACCGGAGCUAAUACCGGAUAGUUCCUUGAACCGCAUGGUUCAAGGAUGAAAGACGGUUUCGGCUGUCACUUACAGAUGGACCCGCGGCGCAUUAGCUAGUUGGUGAGGUAACGGCUCACCAAGGCGACGAUGCGUAGCCGACCUGAGAGGGUGAUCGGCCACACUGGGACUGAGACACGGCCCAGACUCCUACGGGAGGCAGCAGUAGGGAAUCUUCCGCAAUGGACGAAAGUCUGACGGAGCAACGCCGCGUGAGUGAUGAAGGUUUUCGGAUCGUAAAGCUCUGUUGUUAGGGAAGAACAAGUGCAAGAGUAACUGCUUGCACCAUGACGGUACCUAACCAGAAAGCCACGGCUAACUACGUGCCAGCAGCCGCGGUAAUACGUAGGUGGCAAGCGUUGUCCGGAAUUAUUGGGCGUAAAGGGCUCGCAGGCGGUUUCUUAAGUCUGAUGUGAAAGCCCCCGGCUCAACCGGGGAGGGUCAUUGGAAACUGGGAAACUUGAGUGCAGAAGAGGAGAGUGGAAUUCCACGUGUAGCGGUGAAAUGCGUAGAGAUGUGGAGGAACACCAGUGGCGAAGGCGACUCUCUGGUCUGUAACUGACGCUAAUGAACGAAAACUGGGGGAGCGAACAGGAUAUAUACCCUGGGUGUUCCACCCCGUAAACAA
This 757-nucleotide ribosomal RNA is filed under the name Bacillus pumilus. RNAcentral describes it as "bacterial SSU rRNA". It matches the Rfam family "Bacterial small subunit ribosomal RNA", at positions 69 to 809 of the family's 1533-position model. The record is from RNAcentral. Lineage: Bacteria; Bacillati; Bacillota; Bacilli; Caryophanales; Bacillaceae.